Musa acuminata AAA Group (dessert banana) is the source of this 348-nucleotide long non-coding RNA. RefSeq lists it as uncharacterized. The transcript has 3 exons. The record is from RefSeq and is a predicted model, not a curated record. NCBI's taxonomy places the organism in Eukaryota, Viridiplantae, Streptophyta, Magnoliopsida, Zingiberales, Musaceae.
UGUCAUUGGCAGCAAACAUGAACUGGCGACCAACUUCCAAGUAUUCUCUUUUUGAUGAUUUAUGUAAGAUUCUUUUGGGAUAUGUUCCUGCCACCUGAUCCAGUUGGAUGUACUCUGGCUCCGCAUAAAUUUCCAUCAGGAGGAAAGAAUUAUUUCUACUUGGAUCAUCCAUUGUUGCAUGGCUGCUGCAUGACCUAAGUUGCACAUGAACUGCAGGAUUUGGCUGAACUUGGUUAGGGUUUGGGAGUCCAAAUCAAAGUUGAGAUUUGGUGCAGGUUGAACCCAAAUGCCAAAGUGGUAGACCUAGAAGAAUUAUAGUAGUAAUAAACUUGAUAGAUUGAUCUCUUU